UGCCUGUCUUGUUUCCUAAUUGGGCCGC
This 28-nucleotide non-coding RNA is filed under the name Rattus norvegicus (Norway rat). Lineage: Eukaryota; Metazoa; Chordata; Mammalia; Rodentia; Muridae. The record is from RNAcentral.